GUGCCAGCAGCCGCGGUAAUACGUAGGGCGCAAGCGUUGACUCCGGAAUUAUUGGGCGUAAAGAGCUCGUAGGCGGUUUGUCGCGUCUGCCGUGAAAGUCCGGGGCUUAACUCCGGAUCUGCGGUGGGUACGGGCAGACUAGAGUGCAGUAGGGGAGACUGGAAUUCCUGGUGUAGCGGUGAAAUGCGCAGAUAUCAGGAGGAACACCGAUGGCGAAGGCAGGUCUCUGGGCUGUAACUGACGCUGAGGAGCGAAAGCAUGGGGAGCGAACAGGAUUAGAUACCCUGGUAGUCC
This 294-nucleotide ribosomal RNA is filed under the name uncultured microorganism. RNAcentral describes it as "partial 16S ribosomal RNA". It matches the Rfam family "Bacterial small subunit ribosomal RNA", at positions 505 to 796 of the family's 1533-position model. The record is from RNAcentral.